Molecule: non-coding RNA, 2360 nt
Organism: Lolium perenne
Lineage: Eukaryota; Viridiplantae; Streptophyta; Magnoliopsida; Poales; Poaceae
Source: RefSeq, a predicted model, not a curated record
UACUCCUCAGUCCGAGAGGCAGGAAGUGACGCGUCUGAACUCUCAAGCCACGCGAGUCCAAUCCUCGUAGACAUCCUUCCUCCCCUUUCCCUCCACACACACACACCACCACCACCACCCUCUCUCGCCGCGAGAAUGUCGGCAUCCUUCCCGGCCACGACCUCCCCUCCUCUCGCAGGGCCGGCGAUCCAUCGCGGCCCCGCCAUCGCCCGCCUCAUCUCAGGGUCGCUUUCCCGCCGCCCGCUCCCGGCAUACACUGCCCAGACAGUCUCCGCGUCGGCUGCCUCCACGGCCCCCAAGCCCAGGGGAUUGCUCCUGCGAUGCCGGGCAGGGGAGGGGGCGGUGCCGGGGCAGGUGGAGGCACCGCUGAAGGUGAUGAUCUCAGGCGCGCCGGCCUCGGGCAAGGGGACACAGUGCCGUAUGAUUGUUGAGAAGUAUGGUUUAGUUCACAUAUCAACUGGAGAUCUUCUACGGGCUGAAGUAUCAUCUGGAUCAGAUAUUGGCAAUAAAGCAAAAGAAUAUAUGGAUAAUGGCAUGCUUGUCCCGGAUCAAGUUGUGACAGAUAUGGUUGUAUCACGACUAUCACAACCGGAUGUGCGAGAAAAAGGGUGGCUUCUUGAUGGAUACCCAAGGAGUUAUGCUCAAGCACAAAGUCUUGAAAGUAUGAAAAUAAGACCAGAUAUAUUUGUUGUAUUGGAAGUUCCUGAUGACAAUCUAAUUGAUAGAUGUGUUGGAAGAAGACUGGAUCCUGUAACAGGCAAAAUUUACCAUGUUAAGAACUUUCCCCCGGAGAAUGAGGAAAUUUCGGCCAGGCUUCUUACGCGUUCUGAUGAUACAUUUGAGAAGGUUAAAUCACGUCUUGAGACAUACAAACAAAAUUCUGAAGCUGUUCUUCCGACAUACUCAGAUUUGCUUAACCAGAUUGAUGGAAAUCGCCCAGUGGAAGUAGUUUUUCAUGAAAUAGAUUCUCUGUUACAGAAGAUACGUGCAAAUGCUUCAGAAGACAAGUUGGCCAAAUCAAAUGGAAAACCACCAGAUUCUCUGCAUACAGCAGCUUCAAAAAAUGAGUAUCGUGGAAUUCCGACGAGAUUAAAUAACAUUCCACACUCCAGAGAGAUCAGGAAAUAUUUCUAUGACGAUGUGCUACAAGCUACAAAGCGCGCUAUUGAAGAUAAAAAGACCCGGUUGCAGAUAGAUAUCAACAUUCCAGAGCUUAACCCUGAAAUGGAUGUCUAUCGUAUAGGAACCCUCAUGGAACUUGUAAGAGAUUUAUCUCUUACAUUUGCCAAUGACGGAAAACGUGUCAAGGUCUGUGUUCAAGGCUCCAUGGGGCAAGGUGCAUUUGCUGGUAUUCCACUUCAGCUUGCUGGAACGAGAAAGAUUUUGGAAAUCAUGGAUUGGGGUGACUAUGGGGCGAAGGGUGCCUUUAUUAAUAUUGGAGCAGUAGGUGCUAGUGAGGUUGAUAAAGAAGAUGACAUGUUUGUCCUCAUUGCUCCUCAGAAUGCUGUUGGAAACUGCAUAAUUGAUGAUAUGAAAGCUAUGACUGAUGCUGCUGGUAACAGACCUGUGAUUCUUGUAAAUCCUCGUCUAAAGGAUAUGCCUGCAUCAAGUGGCGUAAUGCAAACAAUGGGAAGAGACAUGAGGCUACAGUAUGCUGCAUCUUUUGAGACUUGUUAUUCUUUCCGGCUUCUCUUCUAUGCUGGCACGUUUUAUCCUAUCAUGGGUGCUUUAAGGAUGGCUUACCCAAAUAAAUAUGAGAUUUAUCGAAGGGUCGAUGAACCUAAUGGAAAAGAGAAGUACAGUUUGCUAGCUGAAUUCACGGAGAAUCCAACGGCUGAUGACAUCACCAAUGCCUUCAAAGGACCAAAAAAUAGGAAGCUAUCAGACGCUCUUAGGUUGAUGUUUACUGUCUUCAAUGCAGGGAAAAGGAAAAUGCAUCCUCUGGAUUCUGGGGUUUCUUGAGCGGCAUAUUGUGAGGCAAAGCUCUCUACUAUUGGUGCGUUUAUGCUUGAGAUAGUAUUUUAAUUGCAGGUUUGCUGGUUUUAUAUGUUCUCCCAAUCACCUUAUAAUCCAGUAAAAUGCUUAUUUCCCCUUUAAUAUAUUGUCCAAUAUAUCCUUAUCGAUGUGUAGCUGCAUAUACUAGCUUGAGGGAUAAACUACUUUUGGGAGAAGGCAACCUUUUAUUUUCUAUUUUGCUACCCAUGAAGAAGGUUUGCAGAUGACGUUGCUGGUUUUCCUUUUGUGACGAUGAAUUUGUCUUCUCCUUAGGUUGAGGAUCACAAUAUUUAUUACGGAUUGGAUGGAAUACAAUUUUCACUAAAAAGCAACAUUGUUGGGAUAUUCUUUUUCGGCACUGUUAA